Molecule: long non-coding RNA, 330 nt
Organism: Mya arenaria
Lineage: Eukaryota; Metazoa; Mollusca; Bivalvia; Myida; Myidae
Exons: 3
Source: RefSeq, a predicted model, not a curated record
AUAUUUUUAACUACUUGAACCUUUCUUGUUAUAAUUCUUAUUAUUUAUUUUUUUAGUUGAUGUGUGAUGCUGAUAAUACAGAGACAGCUAGAGUGACAGAGUUUGAUGAAUAAACUUAAAUUAAAAAACAGAAAUAACCACCAUCUCUCUCAGAGGUCGUCUUUCUCAUUAUUGUGGGGAAACCUCAAAGGGCAUCAGGAAAACCUUCAUCAACCUCUUUGUGCCCAGUGGCUUGUGCAACAGUGUUUCAGAAAUUAUCAUUAAAAUGGGGAUAAUGGAUGACUGGCCACACAUAUGGGGCUAUUGACAAGCUUCAGAGCAGGCUGCUAG